Molecule: long non-coding RNA, 854 nt
Filed under: Apteryx owenii (little spotted kiwi)
Lineage: Eukaryota; Metazoa; Chordata; Aves; Apterygiformes; Apterygidae
Description: lncRNA (ENSAOWG00000018523.1)
Source: RNAcentral
AAUUACAUUACAAAAUAUACCACAGCCCAAUAUCUUUAAUAAUACAAUAGUAAUUAUCUCUGAUAAUACUAUAAGUAUCACACAAACACAUUAUGAGAACUUCGUUAGGUGUCCAGAUGCAUUCUGAUUGUUGCAUUUGAUAAUGUUGCAAGAACUUAAGUCUCAAAGACUUGGAAUCUCUGUAAAACUAGACAGUAUUUUUACAGAAAAUGCAGGAGAGAAGUAAAAUGAACAAAUGGCAAGUUUAUCUCACAUAGAAGAGUUAUAAAAUCAUUAAGCAAGUAAAAGGUUAUUCAGCUAAUUGGCUAAUAGCCAGCAAGAAUUUCACAACACAAUCAGCAGGGUGUUGAAAUAUUAAAAAAACCCAGCAACCAAAUGCUCAGUUUCGGAGAAGGACUCUUAUUUAAGAAACACUUUCUUAAGUAUUGCUUAGAUAAGGAGCUGUUUAUCAGCAUGUGUGUAUGCUCUUCCUAGAAUCAAGGUCCAUGCCAGUUUUUUCACAUACUAACACUCUCUUGGUGUUUUGUGAUUUCUCCUUACUGAAGCACCAGGAACACAGGACAAGUGAAGACAGGGAAAAAUCUCGUAAGCACAUGGAUGGAUAUGAACACGUGAAAGCAGCAGCACAUGGAAAAGAAAGGAUGGACUAUUGUCUGUUACUGACAAAAAAAUGCCACUGGCCCUGCAAUAUUCAGGCAAAUGACGAAAGGUUGCACAGCAGUUUAGAAACAACAUUAUUUUUGUUCUACUGGCAUUUUUCAGAUUUAGCAAGAAGUCAUGAGAUCUUCAGAGAGUCAGUAAAUUUCCACGCUUGGUUUCUGUUCUUCACCCCCUCUUGUGGCAAACCUGGCUGA